CUUGAGAUCAUGUUCACCGAGUUUCGAGGCAUACAGUUGAAAUUCCUCAGAGGAGUAUUUCAAAUUCCAGAGCAUUUGUUUUUCACAAAACCCUAAAUAGCCAACUUCCUGUUGGGCGGAGCUUAUGACAUGCAGUGCGAAAGUUGUUUGGUUUGAUGAGAUCUACAUGUGUACCGAGUUUCAUAUGUAUACGUGCAAGUAUGGAUGAUAUAUGGCCCUCAAUAUUCCAGGGGGCGCUGUAGAGCCCCUGUGCCACGCCCGUGUAUCAGUCUCUGCCCGGCCCUAAUGGCCGCAGAUUCCAAGGUGUGUGCCAAUUUUCAAGACUUUUUAAGCAUGUUAAGGGACCCAAAAGCCCCCGAACCCUUGGAAAAAAAUUAGAGGAAUAAAGAAAGAAAAAAAAAAAUAAUAAUAAUAAUCCUAAGGAAAACAAUAGGGCUCUUCGCCCUCCAGGCUUGAGCCCUAAUUAAAGCUGCAAGCAGCGAUGAACGGGCCCUCGCACCCAGGCUCACCACCACCGGGUGGCUUUUGUAAAACAGCGAACGGCCAGAUAUAUGCGUUUAAUGUGGUAAAUAUAAGAGGAAUAUGUCAAAGUCAUAUAUAUGUGCCAGUCUUCCUGCUGCCAGCUGGUGGCGCUAUGACUAUAACUGGAUUUUGUCAUGAGGAUUUCUUCAGUCCAG
Long non-coding RNA from Cyprinus carpio carpio, 677 nucleotides. NCBI's taxonomy places the organism in Eukaryota, Metazoa, Chordata, Actinopteri, Cypriniformes, Cyprinidae. The record is from Ensembl.